This 345-nucleotide long non-coding RNA is filed under the name Gallus gallus (chicken). The record is from RNAcentral. Lineage: Eukaryota; Metazoa; Chordata; Aves; Galliformes; Phasianidae.
AGGAAUCUGUCUCCUUGUUCAGAAAAAGAACCAGAUUGCAAAGAUCUACUUCAAUCAUCAAAAGGUAGCUGGAAGAGAGAACAGAGAAGCAGAAAAAGAGCAGCUCCUGGGCAGCAAUCCCAUGACUUGGAAGCACUCACUCAAAUAUAUUUGUUACGUGAAGAAUCAAUAUGUCAUACUGUUUCUUUUGGAUCUUGUUCCUCAUACUGCUUAUAAUGAAGAGUAAGGGAAGAAUAUUUUUUUAGCCAGGCCACAAGGAACAUGAGAUGUUUAUUUUUAUCAUAGUCCUCCCUACAGGUUUGCAAUUAUUUUUGCUGGCAAAAUUAGAUUUAAAUUUUCUUUUUA